This 459-nucleotide ribosomal RNA is filed under the name uncultured bacterium. Its description in RNAcentral is "partial 16S ribosomal RNA". It matches the Rfam family "Bacterial small subunit ribosomal RNA", at positions 338 to 795 of the family's 1533-position model. The record is from RNAcentral.
CCUACGGGGAGCUGCAGUGAGGAAUAUUGGUCAAUGGUCGGGAGACUGAACCAGCCAAGCCGCGUGAGGGAGGAAGGUACAGAGUAUCGUAAACCUCUUUUGUCAGGGAACAAAGGCGGGGACGUGUCCCCGGAUGAGUGUACCUGAAGAAAAAGCAUCGGCUAACUCCGUGCCAGCAGCCGCGGUAAUACGGAGGAUGCGAUCGUUAUCCGGAUUUAUUGGGUUUAAAGGGUGCGCAGGCGGUCUGUUAAGUCAGCGGUCAAAGCCCGGGGCUCAACCCCGGCCCGCCGUUGAAACUGGCAGUCGCGAGUUGGAGAGAAGUAUGCGGAAUGCGCGGUGUAGCGGUGAAAUGCAUAGAUAUCGCGCAGAACUCCGAUUGCGAAGGCAGCAUGCCGGCUCCACACUGACGCUGAGGCACGAAAGCGUGGGUAUCGAACAGGAUUAGAUACCCGUGUAGUC